Paramisgurnus dabryanus is the source of this 2394-nucleotide long non-coding RNA. RefSeq lists it as uncharacterized. NCBI's taxonomy places the organism in Eukaryota, Metazoa, Chordata, Actinopteri, Cypriniformes, Cobitidae. The record is from RefSeq and is a predicted model, not a curated record.
AAGGAGCUGGCUGAAGUUCAGGAAGUAGUGCAGCUGGGUAUAAAGCCUAUUGCUACCAUUAAAAAGGUUUAACCAUAUACCACCAAAUAAAGGUUUAAAAAUAAAGUCUAAACAAUAUAUUUAUAGGCUACAUACAUUCAGGCUGGUCCAUUAUGCUACACAUUUUAAAAAUAAUUGAACCACAUCUACAAACUUAUUUUGGUGAUUUAGCCCACAAGUUACUUAAACUGGCAUGCCCAUUGUUUUUACAAUGAAUUAAAUGGCUUUUUUUACUGCGUUUGCCACAGUAUUCAAUCCUACACGUUAUUUUACUACAGUACAGUAGGCGGCGGUAUACUGUAGUGUGCAGUUCGUGUCCGCAUCGUCAUACGCGCCAGUAUUGCUGGAAGACUGCAGGAACAGAACCCCCUGGAAAGAUGAGUUCCUUAUUAAAGAAAGGCUUGAUGCUGUUUACUCCACACUCUUAGGCUGACUUUGUAUUAUUUGUCUGUGAAGACAGUUCACAGUUUCUGAAUCCCAUCAAGAAUGAAGACCUGGAGGCCACCAUAUUGAGAUGGUCCGAUGUCAUGAUAUGGCGCUUUUCCAAUGUAGGGUACAACUUGGCUCGGCACGAUGCAGCUCAGCUCGCUUUCGUUGCUUUUCCAGUACAGUUUAGUGUCGCUUCAGAGUGGGUGAGAUUAUAGGCAGGGGUGCACAUAACUGGUGCGUAUGCUCAAAUAGAAAAAAUUCUAGUGUACCAACGUUGCUGGAAUUUUGUUACAUAGUUAGCUAAUUUACUUUGACAUAAGAGAUUUCUUCGUGCAUCAGUGGUAAGAUAAUUAAUGUGUGUUGUUAGCAGUGAUCCGCAUCUCAAUGCUUCAGACAGCUUGCUAGUACAAGUAUACAUUUAUAUGAGUUAGGCUAGUAGUUAUUUAUAAAGAUUAGAUAAGUAAAAAACAAUAACCAGGGUUAUUUUAUGUACAUCAUUGUCUACCAUGUUUAAACAAAAGCGAUAUGGCGAAGAGAGUAGUCAGGAGAAAAGUGAUGAUGUCAGCAUGUAGGAUGUCUGUGCUAUGAAUAGUGUGAGUACCAAGUAACAUCUCCAGGUACUUCUUUGAGAACCAGGACAAAAAAAGUUAUGUGCACCCCUGAUUAUAGCCUUAUUGUUAAAGUUGCGUCCUCUCUACUGCCGUAACAUCAUCGUAAAUGUGAUACAAACACACACACACACAACAUGGAGCAACAGAGCAUAUUAAUGGAAUGCAGCCACAAAAUCAAAAUUGACAGCCACAAGUAGAUUUUCCACUACCUCUCUCACAUGACAGGUUCUAUACAAACACCCGUGUCAUCAGUACCUGUACUCCGCUGACAGAACAUUUACGCCUAUACUUUUGGUGCGUUUUGAAUGCGGAGCCAUGCGCAAAGUUACAAAACUGCCAUCCAGACAUGGGCGCGGUGGUGUGCUCUGCAUUUUUGUAACUUUGCACAUGGCUUCGCAUUCAAAACCCCUUCCCCAAAAGUGAGCUGUGCUGAACUGGGUCAUACUAUGCAAUGGAAAAGCGCCAAAAGUGUCCUACUUCCUGGCUUGAAUGAUUUAGGUAAGCAAAUUUAUCUGAUACACCAAAACCUAAAACGUUUUAAUUCUUUCUUGCAGUGUUAACACGGCAUUUUGAUCUUGAUAUUUAUUCACAUUUAAUGAGAUAUGGAGAUUUUUAUCUUUUACAGAUGAAGACAUACAUUUAAGUGAGCCGUUUUUAUGUCCAUACACUGCGGGCCAGCAUACAUGAAAGUCACCAUCAUGUUUCUACAGUAGCCCUAAAUGGACAAACUGUUCUACAGAGCGUGUUUCGUCCAUACGUUGUCUCAAGGGCUCAAUAUAGCAAACAUACAUGUAGACCGCUGAUAGGCAGUAUCCACGCAUGUAACCACAGAAGCAGCUUGGUCAGUUUAACUCACAAAUGAAGAAACAGCAGAUUGUUGCGUAUGUUUUGAGAAGACCAGCAGCAGUGGCGGCCGGUGACUUCUUUUUUUGAGGGCGCUCGAUGCAAAGUUCAUCACAACAUGUAUGUAGCUUGUCAUGUGUGUGGUUCCUUUUUUCAAAAUAUGUGUUCUGCGCUAUGAGAGAUCCUGUAAGUGCCUGCUGCAGAUGCGUCUAAAGGGUUUAUGAUAAAAGAGACGCUCGCUUUUGCCAGAUACUCGCAUAAUCCCAUGUGUAAUCAGAGUUUAGUGUUAAGGGAGUGUCUUGUGUGUAUUUUGUGAACGUGAGCGUCUCUUUUAUCAUAAACGGUUUUGACGCAUGUGCAGCAGGCACUUAUUUUGACAAAAUAUGUGAUGCACAUAGGAUCUCUCGACACGCAGGACACAUAUUUUGGAAAAGGGGACCACACACAUGAUACUCCGAACACUUAUUUUGAA